RNAcentral lists this ribosomal RNA (466 nucleotides) under uncultured bacterium. RNAcentral's name for it is "partial 16S ribosomal RNA". It matches the Rfam family "Bacterial small subunit ribosomal RNA", at positions 28 to 507 of the family's 1533-position model. The record is from RNAcentral.
GACGAACGCUGGCGGCGUGCUUAACACAUGCAAGUCGUGCGGUAAGGCCCUUUCGGGGGUACACGAGCGGCGAACGGGUGCGUAACACGUGAGCAACCUGCCCUUCCCUUUGGGAUAACUGCCGGAAACGGUGGCUAAUACCGGAUAUGACUUCCUCACGCAUGUGGGGUGGUGGAAAGCCUUCGGGUGGUAGGGGAUGGGCUCGCGGUCUAUCAGCUUGUUGGUGGGGUGAUGGCCUACCAAGGCUUCGACGGGUAGCCGGCCUGAGAGGGUGAGCGGCCACAAUGGGACUGAGACACGGCCCAGACUCCUACGGGAGGCAGCAGGGGGGAAUAUUGGACAAUGGGCGAAAGCCUGUGCCAGCAACGCCGCGUGAGGGAUGACGGCCUUCGGGUUGUAAACCUCUUUCGCCUGCGACGAAGCGAGAGUGACGGUAGCAGGUAAAGAAGCACCGGCCAACUACGUG